GAUCAUGGCUCAGGAUGAACGCUAGCUACAGGCUUAACACAUGCAAGUCGAGGGGCAGCGGGAUUGAAGCUUGCUUCAAUUGCCGGCGACCGGCGCACGGGUGAGUAACGCGUAUCAAACCUUCCGUACACUCAGGGGUAGCCUUUCGAAAGAAAGAUUAAUACCUGAUGGUAUGAUGAGAUUGCAUGAUAGCAUCAUUAAAGAUUUAUCGGUGAUGGAUGGGGA
RNAcentral lists this ribosomal RNA (225 nucleotides) under uncultured bacterium. RNAcentral describes it as "partial 16S ribosomal RNA". It matches the Rfam family "Bacterial small subunit ribosomal RNA", at positions 15 to 231 of the family's 1533-position model. The record is from RNAcentral.